UACGUAGGCAGCAAGCGUUGUUCGGAGUUACUGGGCGUAAAGAGUGCGUAGGUGGUGCCCUAAGUCUGUUGUGAAAUCUCCCGGCUUAACUGGGAGGGUGCGGUGGAAACUGGGGUGCUUGAGUGUGGGAGAGGUAAGCGGAAUUCCUGGUGUAGCGGUGAAAUGCGUAGAGAUCGGGAGGAACAUCAGUUGCGAAGGCGGCUCUCUGGACCAGCACUGACACUGAGGCACGAAAGCGUGGGGAGCAAACAGG
RNAcentral lists this ribosomal RNA (253 nucleotides) under uncultured bacterium. RNAcentral describes it as "partial 16S ribosomal RNA". It matches the Rfam family "Bacterial small subunit ribosomal RNA", at positions 524 to 776 of the family's 1533-position model. The record is from RNAcentral.